Molecule: transfer RNA, 82 nt
Filed under: Blumeria graminis f. sp. tritici
Lineage: Eukaryota; Fungi; Ascomycota; Leotiomycetes; Helotiales; Erysiphaceae
Also listed under: 1 other name
Rfam family: tRNA
About the family: Transfer RNA (tRNA) molecules are approximately 80 nucleotides in length. Their secondary structure includes four short double-helical elements and three loops (D, anti-codon, and T loops).
Source: Rfam by way of RNAcentral
UCCGCAUUAGUGUAGGGGUAAACAUACUCCGCUUUCAUUACAAAGUCCCGGAGAGCCCCGGGUUCGAUUCCCGGAUGCGGAA